Molecule: ribosomal RNA, 792 nt
Filed under: uncultured basal lineage fungus
Lineage: Eukaryota; Fungi
Description: eukaryotic LSU rRNA
Rfam family: 5.8S ribosomal RNA (bases 291-444)
Source: RNAcentral
CUUGGUCAUUUAGAGGAAGUAAAAGUCGUAACAAGGUUUCCGUGGGUGAACCUGCGGAAGGAUCAUUAACACGAAACCCACGUUUCAUACCAAUCUGUGCUCUCGUAACCUACAAAGUAGUAGGAACCCUCAACUCGAGUGGAUCGCGGCGUUUUACGCUGUCUUUCUUAACUUUAUUUGAGAUCUUACUUACUUUAUUUAUUUUUAACCCCUUGUAUCAUCUAUUGACUGAACCUUGGAAGUUUGAGACCCUUUGGGGAACUCGCUUCUGAUAUUACGAAACUCUGAACAACUCUUAGCAACGGAUAUCUUGGUUCUCGCAACGAUGAAGAACGCAGCGAAAUGCGAUACGUAAUGCGAAUUGCAGAAUUCAGUGAAUCAUCAAAUCUUUGAACGCAAAUUGCGCUCUCGGGUAUCCCUGGGAGCACGCCUCUUUGAGUAUCGGUUCUACCUCAUCUCGACAGCGUACUUUUUAACAAGGUAUGUGUAGUCGGAAAAUGAGUGUCUCAGUUUUUCUCUAUCUUUUACCUUCGUGGCAAUUGAAAAGAGUUUCUUUACUGAGUCACUUCAAACACAGAGAAGAACCUGGACCUUCCCACUUAAUUGGGGGAUGACGCAAGAUAAUUCACUCUUCGUGAGUGUUUAAAACCUUCGUCUCUCCUGAGGGAUGUGCUCCGGUUUUGAUCCGGGAAUUUUGUUUCUCUUCACGGAGAAAUAAAACACCUUUUCAGAAUAAGAUCUCAGAUGAAGCGAGAAUACCCGCCGAAUUUAAGCAUAUCAAUAAGCGGAGGA